GCAGACGGCGGAUCCUCCCAGCCUGGAGGAGGGCGAGGCCGAGCCUCAGCCGGGAGAGGAGGCCCCCUGAGGCCGCCUCCCGUCCCUCCCAGUGCCUCGCUGUCCUGGCAGGAGGGGGGCAAGUAGGGGUGCCACAGAGCCUAGGCUGCGCUGGGGGACUGGGGAAGCGCAUCCCAUGAGAAAGGCCCUUAGCUGGGUCACCAGGAACCCAGGGAACCAUAGUGUCCAACCACCCCCACCAAUCCCGUGGGGGAGGGGGUUCAAGUUCUGAGAGUUGAGGGACUGCAGCCAACAUGCCUGGGUUCCAAUCGAGGGUCACCCACUUCCUAACCUAACAGUAUAAACAAGUUACCAAAAAAAAAAAAAAGCCCCCCCCCCGCACACACACGACAAGAGCAAAACUGCUCCAGGCCUCAGUUUACCUAGCUGUAAAAUGGGCAUGAUAGCAGUACUCACUUCAAAGUGCAUUUGUUGGGUUAGGAGUGUCAACUCACUCUAUAAUCCCAAAACUUUGGGAGGCUGUGGCAGGAGGAUCGCUUGAACUUAGGAGUUUGAGACCAGCCUAGGCAACAUAGUGAGACCCCC
Molecule: long non-coding RNA, 585 nt
Filed under: Homo sapiens (human)
Lineage: Eukaryota; Metazoa; Chordata; Mammalia; Primates; Hominidae
Description: non-protein coding lnc-NANOS3-2:3
Source: RNAcentral